RNAcentral lists this transfer RNA (75 nucleotides) under Ignavibacteriota bacterium. RNAcentral's name for it is "Ignavibacteriae bacterium tRNA-Arg". It matches the Rfam family "tRNA". Rfam says of the family: Transfer RNA (tRNA) molecules are approximately 80 nucleotides in length. Their secondary structure includes four short double-helical elements and three loops (D, anti-codon, and T loops). The record is from RNAcentral. Lineage: Bacteria; Pseudomonadati; Ignavibacteriota.
GCCCUCGUAGUUCAACGGAUAGAACGAUGGUUUCCUAAACCAUUGAUAUGGGUUCGAUUCCCGUCGAGGGUACUA